This 253-nucleotide ribosomal RNA is filed under the name uncultured bacterium. RNAcentral's name for it is "partial 16S ribosomal RNA". It matches the Rfam family "Bacterial small subunit ribosomal RNA", at positions 524 to 776 of the family's 1533-position model. The record is from RNAcentral.
UACGUAGGCAGCGAGCGUUGUUCGGAGUUACUGGGCGUAAAGCGUGCGUAGGCGGUGUCUUAAGUUUGUUGUGAAAUCUCCCGGCUUAACCGGGAGGGUGCGGCGAAUACUGAGAUGCUGGAGUGCGGGAGAGGUAAGCGGAAUUCCCGGUGUAGCGGUGAAAUGCGUAGAUAUCAGGAGGAACACCUGUGGUGUAGACAGCUUACUGGACCACUUCUGACGCUGAGACACGAAAGCGUGGGUAGCAAACAGG